UACGUAGGGAGCUAGCGUUGUCCGGAAUCAUUGGGCGUAAAGAGCGUGUAGGCGGCCAUACAGGUCAGCUGUGAAAACUCGAGGCUCAACCUCGAGACGUCGGUUGAAACCGUAUGGCUAGAGUCCGGAAGAGGAGAGUGGAAUUCCCGGUGUAGCGGUGAAAUGCGCAGAUAUCGGGAAGAACACCUAUGGCGAAGGCAGCUCUCUGGGACGGUACUGACGCUGAGACGCGAAAGCGUGGGGAGCAAACAGG
Molecule: ribosomal RNA, 253 nt
Filed under: uncultured bacterium
Lineage: Bacteria
Description: partial 16S ribosomal RNA
Rfam family: Bacterial small subunit ribosomal RNA
Source: RNAcentral